Molecule: long non-coding RNA, 472 nt
Filed under: Pan troglodytes (chimpanzee)
Lineage: Eukaryota; Metazoa; Chordata; Mammalia; Primates; Hominidae
Description: long non-coding RNA NONPTRT001177
Source: RNAcentral
CCGGGGAAGUGAGAUGACGGUCGCGGGGGUGCCCAGGAGCCCUGAAAAACUUGUGCCCUGGACACGGCAAAAUCUGCAGGUUGCAGAAAGUCUCAACUGAUCCUGGCAUACCCCGAGGUGCCGACUUUUAGAGCUGAAGAUGCAAGAAAGAUCGGGAUCCUGCGAUGCACCGAACCUGUCUCUCGAAGUGUGUGCGCCCUGCUUCCUGUGUUAAACAAUUUGCUACAAGGUCACACAAUUUUAACUAGAAGACUGAGAUGUGAACCUGGGUGGUCUGAUGUGAACACCACUGUCUGGUAAUCCCAACGCUCUGCUGCUUUGCGACAGAGAAUGUUUUAGGGAACACACAGACUAUGUACUUAACCAAAUCUGGAAUUUGCCAUAAGAUAUUAAUCAGAGAAGUAAUGAUACUUGCAUUUUAAAAUGAAGGCUUUGGCAGUAGGAGAAGGGUGAAUAAGAGGCUUAAGAGCCU